This 224-nucleotide ribosomal RNA is filed under the name uncultured bacterium. Its description in RNAcentral is "partial 16S ribosomal RNA". It matches the Rfam family "Bacterial small subunit ribosomal RNA", at positions 110 to 334 of the family's 1533-position model. The record is from RNAcentral.
GUAACACGUAUCCAACCUGCCGUCUACUCUUGGACAGCCUUCUGAAAGGAAGAUUAAUACAAGAUGGCAUCAUGAGUCCGCAUGUUCACAUGAUUAAAGGUGUUCCGGUAGACGAUGGGGAUGCGUUCCAUUAGAUAGUAGGCGGGGUAACGGCCCACCUAGUCUUCGAUGGAUAGGGGUUCUGAGAGGAAGGUCCCCCACAUUGGAACUGAGACACGGUCCAA